AUUGAACGCUGGCGGCAUGCCUUACACAUGCAAGUCGAACGGUAACAGGUCUUCGGACGCUGACGAGUGGCGAACGGGUGAGUAAUACAUCGGAACGUGCCCAGUCGUGGGGGAUAACUACUCGAAAGAGUAGCUAAUACCGCAUACGAUCUGAGGAUGAAAGCGGGGGACCUUCGGGCCUCGCGCGACUGGCGCGGCCGAUGGCAGAUUAGGUAGUUGGUGGGAUAAAAGCUUACCAAGCCGACGAUCUGUAGCUGGUCUGAGAGGACGACCAGCCACACUGGGACUGAGACACGGCCCAGACUCCUACGGGAGGCAGCAGUGGGGAGUUUUGGACAAUGGGCGAAAGCCUGAUCCAGCAAUGCCGCGUGCAGGAUGAAGGCCUUCGGGUUGUAAACUGCUUUUGUACGGAACGAAAAAGCUCCUUCUAAUACAGGGGGCCCAUGACGGUACCGUAAGAAUAAGCACCGGCUAACUACGUGCCAGCCGCCGCCGUAA
This 498-nucleotide ribosomal RNA is filed under the name uncultured bacterium. Its description in RNAcentral is "partial 16S ribosomal RNA". It matches the Rfam family "Bacterial small subunit ribosomal RNA", at positions 30 to 523 of the family's 1533-position model. The record is from RNAcentral.